GGCGAACGCUGGCGGCGUGCUUAACACAUGCAAGUCGAACGGAAAGGCCCUGCUUUUGUGGGGUGCUCGAGUGGCGAACGGGUGAGUAACACGUGAGUAACCUGCCCUUGACUUUGGGAUAACUUCAGGAAACUGGGGCUAAUACCGGAUAGGAUCUCCUGCUGCAUGGUGGGGGUUGGAAAGUUUCGGCGGUUGGGGAUGGACUCGCGGCUUAUCAGCUUGUUGGUGGGGUAGUGGCUUACCAAGGCUUUGACGGGUAGCCGGCCUGAGAGGGUGAACGGCCACAUUGGGACUGAGAUACGGACCAGACUCCUACGGGAGGCAGCAGUGGGGAAUAUUGCACAAUGGGCGGAAGCCUGAGGCAGCAACGCCGCGUGCGGGAUGACGGCUUUCGGGUUGUAAACCGAUUUCGCCUGUGACGAAGCGUGAGUGACGGUAAUGGGUAAAGAAGCACCGGCUAACUACGUG
Molecule: ribosomal RNA, 468 nt
Filed under: uncultured bacterium
Lineage: Bacteria
Description: partial 16S ribosomal RNA
Rfam family: Bacterial small subunit ribosomal RNA
Source: RNAcentral